CAACUCUCAACAACGGAUAUCUUGGCUCUCGCAACGAUGAAGAACGCAGCGAAAUGCGAUACGUAGUGUGAAUUGCAGAAUUCCGUGAACCAUCGAAUCUUUGAACGCAUAUUGCGCUCGAGGCUUCGGCCAAGAGCAUGUCUGCCUCAGCGUCGUUUUGACACCUCACUCCCAUACCUUUUUGGUAUCAUGCAUCGAGCCAAGGCUUGAUGCUGGGCGUGGAUCUGGCUUCCCCAGGGCUUUCCUGGGUUGGCUGAAGUGCAGAGGCUAUAGCACGGACCCGUAUGGGCGUCAACUGGAUAGGUAGCCCCCACGUAAGUGGAUCUACACGAAGUUGUUUGCCUGGGAAACGUGUUGGUGGCCAAACAGGAAACUUCUCUCACUUCGACCUGAGCUCAGGCAAGAUUACCCGCUGAACUUAAGCAUAUCAAUAAGCGGUGGAA
RNAcentral lists this ribosomal RNA (443 nucleotides) under Pediastrum duplex. RNAcentral describes it as "eukaryotic LSU rRNA". The stretch from base 2 to 155 matches the Rfam family "5.8S ribosomal RNA". Lineage: Eukaryota; Viridiplantae; Chlorophyta; Chlorophyceae; Sphaeropleales; Hydrodictyaceae. The record is from RNAcentral.